CCAGUCAUAUGCUUGUCUCAAAGAUUAAGCCAUGCAUGUCUGAGUACAGACCGAUCUAAGGUGAAACCGCGAAUGGCUCAUUAAAUCAGUCAUAAUUCCUUGGAUAGUGAAAAACUUUCCUCGGAUAACUGUGGAAAAUCCAGAGCUAAUACGUGCAACUGAGCUCCGACCUAGGCGCGAGCCUUGGGAAGAGCGCAUUUGUUAGAUUCAAAACUGACCGGCGUACUCCUUCGGGAUACGCCGUUUGUUAAAAUUUGAUGACUCAGGACAACUAAGUCGAGCGCUCCGGUCUUUAGUACCGGCGCCGUAUCUUUCAAGUGUCUGCCUUAUCAGCUUUCGAUUGUAGGUUAAACGCCUACAAUGGCUGUAACGGGUAACGGGGAAUCAGGGUUCGAUUCCGGAGAGGGAGCCUGAGAAACGGCUACCACAUCUAAGGAAGGCAGCAGGCACGCAAAUUACCCACUCCCAGCCCGGGGAGGUAGUGACGAAAAAUAACGAUGCGAGACUCUUCCGAGGCCUCGCAAUCGGAAUGAGUCCAUUUUAAAUCCUUGGACGAGGAUCCAUUGGAGGGCAAGUCUGGUGCCAGCAGCCGCGGUAAUUCCAGCUCCAAUAGCGUAUAUUAAAGUUGCUGCGGUUAAAAAGCUCGUAGUUGGACUUUCUAGAUCCAUUUCGUGGGUGAGUCGCUCUUUGUACUAGCUUCUCGCGCGGUCCCUCGACGAAGUCGUCUCGCUCGUGAGCGCGUGCGUUCGCGUGUGCGUACUUCUUUUUCGGCUUAACGUCGUUUUAGAGGUUGCGCGCUCGCGUGUCUCCGCCUCGUUAGCAGGCGUUACCGAGUCCCGUGGGCGGCGAGGAGUUGUCUUAGAGUAUAGCUCGUCCGCGUUUGGUACAAUUAAAAUUUUGUCGGCUCGCUCGGAGUGCUCUUUACCGAGUGUUCCAGGGUGGCUGACACGUUCACUUUGAAAAAAUUAGAGUGCUUAAAGCGGGCUUAUUUACGGCCUGAAUGUCUGUGCAUGGAAUGAAGUAACAGGACCUCGAUUCUGUUGUUUUUGUCGGUUUUAUUGAACCGAGGUAAUGAUUAAAAGGGACAGACGGUGGCAUUAGUAUUGCGGCGCUAGAGGUGAAAUUCUUGGACCGUCGCAAGACUAACUACUGCGAAAGCAUUUGCCGAGAAUGUUUUCAUUAAUCAAGAACGAAAGUUAGAGGAUCGAAGGCGAUCAGAUACCGCCCUAGUUCUAACCCUAAACUAUGCUAACUAGCGAUCCGCCGGAGUCAUUCCCACGACCCGGCGGGAAGCCCCAGGGAAACCAAAGUCUUUGAGUUCCGGGGGAAGUAUGGUUGCAAAGCUGAAACUUAAAGGAAUUGACGGAAGGGCACCACCAGGAGUGGAGCCUGCGGCUUAAUUUGACUCAACACGGGAAACCUCACCAGGCCCGGACAUCAUAAGGAUUGACAGGUUGAGAGCUCUUUCUCGAUUUGAUGGGUGGUGGUGCAUGGCCGUUCUUAGUUGGUGGAGUGAUCUGUCUGGUUGAUUCCGAUAACGAACGAGACUCUACCCUACUAACUAGUCGGCGGAUCGUAACCCUGAGAUGGUUAGUUUGUAUAGGGGAGUUUUGCCCAGGCAAAGUCCUAUCUUAUAGAGUUAUGCCGCUGCUCGUUGUGCCGUGCGUUGCGUCCCGAGGGAUUUGCGGCGUUCGGUAUCUCGGGUGCGUGUGUGGCUCUAGAGGUUGCGGCUCUGUCGAAGCUGCUCUCUGAUUGCUGCUACUGCUGGGGGCGUCCGUCGCAAUGUAUCUUCUUAGAGGGAUCAGCGGCGUAUAGCCGCACGAGAAAGAGCAAUAACAGGUCUGUGAUGCCCUUAGAUGUUCUGGGCCGCACGCGCGCUACAAUGUAGGGCUCAGCGUGCUUUCCCUCUCCGAAAGGAGCGGGUAACCCGUUGAAACCCCUACCCGAUUGGGAUUGGGGAUUGCAAUUAUUUCCCAUAAACGAGGAAUUCCCAGUAAGCGCGAAUCAUUAAUUCGCGCUGAUUACGUCCCUGCCCUUUGUACACACCGCCCGUCGCUACUACCGAUUGAAUGAUUCAGUGAGGGCAUCGGACUGGCCCUUCGGUUUAGUAACCUAGACCUUAGGCUGACGGAAAGAUGUCCGAACUGAUCAUUAGAG
Molecule: ribosomal RNA, 2157 nt
Filed under: Eugerdella sp. VTDes012
Lineage: Eukaryota; Metazoa; Arthropoda; Malacostraca; Isopoda; Desmosomatidae
Description: SSU rRNA
Rfam family: Eukaryotic small subunit ribosomal RNA
Source: RNAcentral